UAGGGAAUCUUCCGCAAUGGGCGAAAGCCUGACGGAGCAACGCCGCGUGAGUGAUGAAGGUCUUCGGAUCGUAAAACUCUGUUAUUAUGGAAGAACAAAUGUGUAAGUAACUAUGCACGUCUUGACGGUACCUAAUCAGAAGGCCACGGCUAACUACGUGCCAGCAGCCGCGGUAAUACGUAGGUGGCAAGCGUUAUCCGGAAUUAUUGGGCGUAAAGCGCGCGUAGGCGGUUUUUUAAGUCUGAUGUGAAAGCCCACGGCUCAACCGUGGAGGGUCAUUGGAAACUGGAAAACUAGAGUGCAGAAGAGGAAAGUGGAAUUCCAUGUGUAGCGGUGAAAUGCGCAGAGAUAUGGAGGAACACCAGUGGAGAAGGCGACUUUCUGGUAUGUAACUGACGCUGAUGUGCGAAAGCGUGGGGAUCAAACAGG
RNAcentral lists this ribosomal RNA (429 nucleotides) under Actinomycetes bacterium. RNAcentral's name for it is "Actinobacteria bacterium partial 16S ribosomal RNA". It matches the Rfam family "Bacterial small subunit ribosomal RNA", at positions 355 to 776 of the family's 1533-position model. Lineage: Bacteria; Bacillati; Actinomycetota; Actinomycetes. The record is from RNAcentral.